RNAcentral lists this small nuclear RNA (99 nucleotides) under Sorex araneus (European shrew). The record is from RNAcentral. Lineage: Eukaryota; Metazoa; Chordata; Mammalia; Eulipotyphla; Soricidae.
GUGCUCGCUUUGGCAGCACAUAUACUAAAACUGGAACAAUACAGAGAAGAUUAGUAUGCCCCCCCUGCACCCCAAAGUAGAGAGAGUAAAAAGGAAAAU